Molecule: ribosomal RNA, 399 nt
Filed under: uncultured bacterium
Lineage: Bacteria
Description: bacterial SSU rRNA
Rfam family: Bacterial small subunit ribosomal RNA
Source: RNAcentral
AUUGAACGCUGGCGGCAUGCCUUACACAUGCAAGUCGAACGGCAGCACGGGAGCAAUCCUGGUGGCGAGUGGCGAACGGGUGAGUAAUAUAUCGGAACGUGCCCAGUCGUGGGGAUAACGUAGCGAAAGCUACGCUAAUACCGCAUACGAUCUAUGGAUGAAAGCGGGGGAUCGCAAGACCUCGCGCGAUUGGAGCGGCCGAUAUCAGAUUAGGUAGUUGGUGAGGUAAAGGCUCGCCAAGCCGACGAUCUGUAGCUGGUCUGAGAGGACGACCAGCCACACUGGGACUGAGACACGGCCCAGACUCCUACGGGAGGCAGCAGUGGGGAAUUUUUGGACGAAUGGGCGCAAGCCUGAUCCAGCAAUGCCGCGUGCAGGAUGAAGGCCUCGGUUGUAACU